RNAcentral lists this ribosomal RNA (951 nucleotides) under Harorepupu aotearoa. Its description in RNAcentral is "eukaryotic LSU rRNA". It matches the Rfam family "Eukaryotic large subunit ribosomal RNA", at positions 23 to 978 of the family's 3401-position model. Lineage: Eukaryota; Fungi; Ascomycota; Eurotiomycetes; Onygenales. The record is from RNAcentral.
ACCCGCUGAACUUAAGCAUAUCAAUAAGCGGAGGAAAAGAAACCAACGGGGAUUGCCCCAGUAACGGCGAGUGAAGCGGCAAGAGCUCAAAUUUGAAAUCCGGCCCCGGGACCGGGGCCCGAGUUGUAAUUUGCAGAGGAUGCUUCGGGCGCGGCGGCGGCGCAAGUCCCCUGGAACGGGGCGUCGUGGAGGGUGAGAGUCCCGUACACCGUCGCACGUCCGCGGCCCGUGUGAAGCUCCCUCGACGAGUCGAGUUGUUUGGGAAUGCAGCUCCAAGCGGGUGGUAAAUUCCAUCUAAGGCUAAAUAUCGGCCGGAGACCGAUAGCGCACAAGUAGAGUGAUCGAAAGGUUAAAAGCACCUUGGAAAGGGAGUUAAACAGCACGUGAAAUUGUUGAAAGGGAAGCGCUUGCGGCCAGACCCGGGCGCGGGGGCUCAGCGGGCGAGAACCGCCCGUGGAUUCCCCCGCGGCACACCCGGGCCAGCAUCGGCCCCGACGGCCGGUCAAAGGCCCCCGGAACGUGUCGCCUCCAGGGGCGUCUUACAGCCGGGGGUGCAAUGCGGCCAGCCGGGGCCGAGGGACGCGCUUCGGCACGGAUGCUGGCGUAAUGGCCGCAAGCGGCCCGUCUUGAAACACGGACCAAGGAGUCUAACAUCCACGCGAGUGUUCGGGUGCUCAAACCCGCGCGCGCAGUGAAAGCGAACGGAGGCGGGAGCCCCCCCGGGGGCGCACCGUCGACCGAUCCUGAAGUCUUCGGAUGGAUUUGAGUAGGAGCGUGGCUGUUGGGACCCGAAAGAUGGUGAACUAUGCCCGAAUAGGGUGAAGCCAGAGGAAACUCUGGUGGAGGCCCGCAGCGGUUCUGACGUGCAAAUCGAUCGUCAAAUUUGGGUAUAGGGGCGAAAGACUAAUCGAACCAUCUAGUAGCUGGUUCCUGCCGAAGUUUCCCUCAGGA